GUGGGGAGCAAACAGGCUUAGAUACCCUGGUAGUCCACCCCGUAAACGUUGGGAACUAGUUGUGGGGUCCAUUCCACGGAUUUCCGUGACGCAGCUAACGCAUUAAGUUCCCCGCCUGGGGAGUACGGCCGCAAGGCUAAAACUCAAAGGAAUUGACGGGGACCCGCACAAGCGGCGGAGCAUGCGGAUUAAUUCGAUGCAACGCGAAGAACCUUACCAAGGCUUGACAUAUAGAGGAAACGUCUGGAAACAGUCGCCCCGCAAGGUCUCUAUACAGGUGGUGCAUGGUUGUCGUCAGCUCGUGUCGUGAGAUGUUGGGUUAAGUCCCGCAACGAGCGCAACCCUCGUUCUAUGUUGCCAGCACGUAAUGGUGGGAACUCAUGGGAUACUGCCGGGGUCAACUCGGAGGAAGGUGGGGAUGACGUCAAAUCAUCAUGCCCCUUAUGUCUUGGGCUUCACGCAUGCUACAAUGGCCGGUACAAAGGGCUGCAAUACCGUAAGGUGGAGCGAAUCCCAAAAAGCCGGUCCCAGUUCGGAUUGAGGUCUGCAACUCGACCUCAUGAAGUCGGAGUCGCUAGUAAUCGCAGAUCAGCAACGCUGCGGUGAAUACGUUCCCGGGUCUUGUACACACCGCCCGUCAAGUCAUGAAAGUCGGUAACACCUGAAGCCGGUGGCCCAACCCUUGUGGAG
Molecule: ribosomal RNA, 690 nt
Filed under: Microbacterium sp. mat918
Lineage: Bacteria; Bacillati; Actinomycetota; Actinomycetes; Micrococcales; Microbacteriaceae
Description: bacterial SSU rRNA
Rfam family: Bacterial small subunit ribosomal RNA
Source: RNAcentral